GCGCCCAUAGCUCAGGUGGAUAGAGCAGCAGCCUUCUAAGCUGCAGGUCGCUGGUUCGAGUCCAGCGUGAAGUG
This 74-nucleotide transfer RNA is filed under the name Holophagaceae bacterium. Its description in RNAcentral is "tRNA-Arg". The stretch from base 8 to 66 matches the Rfam family "tRNA", at positions 8 to 63 of the family's 71-position model. Rfam says of the family: Transfer RNA (tRNA) molecules are approximately 80 nucleotides in length. Their secondary structure includes four short double-helical elements and three loops (D, anti-codon, and T loops). The record is from RNAcentral. Lineage: Bacteria; Pseudomonadati; Acidobacteriota; Holophagae; Holophagales; Holophagaceae.